Molecule: unclassified non-coding RNA, 269 nt
Filed under: Hevea brasiliensis (rubber tree)
Lineage: Eukaryota; Viridiplantae; Streptophyta; Magnoliopsida; Malpighiales; Euphorbiaceae
Source: RNAcentral
GUACAAAAGCUCAAGGUUUCAAAGUGAUGAACAGAGGACUGCGAACAAUUGGAGAGAAGAAAACACACAGAAGAGGGUUACUUUUAACAGUAUGUAUGACUAGUUGAUCAACUUCUUAAGGUGGCGUUUCAAUGAAAAAGUUAACGAGCUUCUUAAGUUAUCUUUUCAAUGAAAAGUUGACCAACUUCUGGAUCUUUUUGUAUGUUAUGUAACAUCAUUGGGUUUUACCAAGUCCAAUGGUGGUGGAGCAGUUGCAACCAUGAUCUUGC